GAUGAACGCUGGCGGCGUGCCUAAUACAUGCAAGUCGAGCGAACAGACGAGGAGCUUGCUCCUCUGACGUUAGCGGCGGACGGGUGAGUAACACGUGGAUAACCUACCUAUAAGACUGGGAUAACUUCGGGAAACCGGAGCUAAUACCGGAUAACAUGUUGAACCGCAUGGUUCAACAGUGAAAGACGGUCUUGCUGCCACUUAUAGAUGGAUCCGCGCCGCAUUAGCUAGUUGGUAAGGUAACGGCUUACCAAGGCAACGAUGCGUAGCCGACCUGAGAGGGUGAUCGGCCACACUGGAACUGAGACACGGUCCAGACUCCUACGGGAGGCAGCAGUAGGGAAUCUUCCGCAAUGGGCGAAAGCCUGACGGAGCAACGCCGCGUGAGUGAAGAAGGUCUUCGGAUCGUAAAACUCUGUUAUUAGGGAAGAACAAAUGUGUAAGUAACUAUGCACGUCUUGACGGUACCUAAUCAGAAAGCCACGGCUAACUACGUG
RNAcentral lists this ribosomal RNA (497 nucleotides) under uncultured bacterium. Its description in RNAcentral is "partial 16S ribosomal RNA". It matches the Rfam family "Bacterial small subunit ribosomal RNA", at positions 28 to 507 of the family's 1533-position model. The record is from RNAcentral.